GACGAACGCUGGCGGCGUGCUUAACACAUGCAAGUCGAACGGAAAGGCCCUGCUUUUGUGGGGUGCUCGAGUCGCGAACGGGUGAGUAACACGUGAGUAACCUGCCCGUGACUUUGGGAUAACUUCAGGAAACUGGUGCUAAUACCGGAUAGGAGCUCCUGCCGCAUGGUGGGGGAUGGAAAGUUUCGGCGGGUGGGGAUGGGCUCGCGUGUUAUCAGCUUGUUGGUGGGGUAGUGGCAUCCCAAGGCUUUGAAGGGUAGGCGGGCGGAGAGGGUGACCCCCCACGGGGGUACGGAGACAGGGACAAGACUGCUACGGGAGGCAGCAGUGAGGGAUAUGGGUCAAUGGUCGGAAGACUGAACCAGCCAUGCCGCGUGCAGGAAGAAUGCCUUAUGGGUGGGAAACUGCUUUUAUAUGGGAAGAAUAAGGCGUACGUGUACGUUGAUGACGGGACCAUAUGAAUAAGCAUCGGCUAAAUCCGUG
This 483-nucleotide ribosomal RNA is filed under the name uncultured bacterium. RNAcentral's name for it is "partial 16S ribosomal RNA". It matches the Rfam family "Bacterial small subunit ribosomal RNA", at positions 28 to 507 of the family's 1533-position model. The record is from RNAcentral.